GGUUUGAACAUGGCUCAGGAUGAACGCUGGCGGCGUGCUUAACACAUGCAAGUCGAACGAUGAACCUCACUUGUGGGGGGAUUAGUGGCGAACGGGUGAGUAACACGUGAGUAACCUGCCCUUAACUCUGGGAUAAGCCUGGGAAACUGGGUCUAAUACCGGAUAUGACUCCUCAUCGCAUGGUGGGGGGUGGAAAGCUUUUUGUGGUUUUGGAUGGACUCGCGGCCUAUCAGCUUGUUGGUGAGGUAAUGGCUCACCAAGGCGACGACGGGUAGCCGGCCUGAGAGGGUGACCGGCCACACUGGGACUGAGACACGGCCCAGACUCCUACGGGAGGCAGCAGUGGGGAAUAUUGCACAAUGGGCGCAAGCCUGAUGCAGCGACGCCGCGUGAGGGAUGACGGCCUUCGGGUUGUAAACCUCUUUCAGUAGGGAAGAAGCCGUAAGGUGACGGUACCUGCAGAAGAAGCGCCGGCUAACUACGUGCCAGCAGCCGCGGUAAUACGUAGGGCGCAAGCGUUAUCCGGAAUUAUUGGGCGUAAAGAGCUCGUAGGCGGUUUGUCGCGUCUGCCGUGAAAGUCCGGGGCUCAACUCCGGAUCUGCGGUGGGUACGGGCAGACUAGAGUGAUGUAGGGGAGACUGGAAUUCCUGGUGUAGCGGUGAAAUGCGCAGAUAUCAGGAGGAACACCGAUGGCGAAGGCAGGUCUCUGGGCAUAAC
This 717-nucleotide ribosomal RNA is filed under the name Arthrobacter sp. RNAcentral's name for it is "bacterial SSU rRNA". It matches the Rfam family "Bacterial small subunit ribosomal RNA", at positions 10 to 740 of the family's 1533-position model. The record is from RNAcentral. Lineage: Bacteria; Bacillati; Actinomycetota; Actinomycetes; Micrococcales; Micrococcaceae.